This is a long non-coding RNA of Stegodyphus dumicola, 1141 nucleotides long. RefSeq lists it as uncharacterized. The record is from RefSeq and is a predicted model, not a curated record. Lineage: Eukaryota; Metazoa; Arthropoda; Arachnida; Araneae; Eresidae.
UUUAUCGAACCUGUCGAAAUUAUGCUUGGCAGUAGAUUGGAUCAAGCUCUGAAUACAAAAACAGGUCAAUUUGAAACCAAAAUUGUAAAAGAAACAUUUCAGUAUGUUUCGGUCAUAAAAACAAUUGAAAUGGUUUUGUCUAAGUUUGUUUCUUCUGGCUCAUAAAGGUAAGCUGUAAAUGCAUGUGCCUCUAGUGCCAAAGGUCUUUUUAAUGAUAUUUUUGCAAUCAUUAUGUAAUAAACGUGUGUAUUUAUAUAUAUUAGAGAGAGAUGACCUAAAAGCAUUAGUUUUGCUCACAGAACUUUUGCUCAGCUAAAAUUAUUGGAAAGAAAGAGGGGAAAAGGUUUUAUUCAUUAUUAAUGAGUAAAUAUUUGGCAUAAGUCUAUGCAUAAAAAAUAAUUUCAUAUGCUUAGCUAUAAAAUUCUUUUCAUAGGAUAAUAUUUUUAGUUUGCAGUGUAUGUAUAUGUAAAUAAGCUAUUGAUACUAUAUGUAAGUGAGCUGAGCUGCAUAUCCUUUGAAAUUUGCUACAUAUUCUAUCUUGAAAGGUUCAUGUGUGAUAUUUAUAUAGUUUCAAUCAAUUAUUAUAUUUCACAUGCAAUUUUUAUCCAGUAUAUGUCUUUUAUAUAUAUUUUUAUUUUUAUUUUUGUAGGGUAAAGGCAAAGCAAGUAUUUUAGCAUCAGGCUGUUAUUUGAAAAAAAAUUUAAAAAAAUCCAAAUCCUGCACUUCUAAUAUUUGCUAAAUGAAAUAGAAGACAUGGAAUCUCUUGGGCCAGCUCAGAAUAAACAGCCCAUUAUAGUGUGUAUUACAAGUUCAUUCUAUAUUAAAACAGUAAAUCACUUAAUAACAUGCCCAAAUCAUGCCAUGAAGGCAUUUGACAUUCUAUUUAAAACUAAUUUUGUAUUUAGCGUUCAAUAUGCACAUACAUCAACAAAUUUUUAUAAUUUUGUGGCAAGCCUUUUGUAUAAUGUCAGCACUCCUAGAGCUUGUGUGGACUCUUUAAAUACAUGAUUGAGUAUGAAUUUAUUGCAUUCUGUACAUGCAUUACAUUUCAUAUUUUUAAUGUCAUUUUAUUGUCAUAUUUUCCAUUUUUAUAUAUGUAUAUAUAUGUACAUAUAUUUACUAAUAAAGAGUUUUUCAUGCA